UUGAACGCUGGCGGCAUGCCUUACACAUGCAAGUCGAACGGCAGCAUGGAAGAGCUUGCUCUUCUGGAUGGCGAGUGGCGAACGGGUGAGUAAAGCAUCGGAACGUACCGUGUAGUGGGGGAUAACGUAGCGAAAGUUACGCUAAUACCGCAUACGCACUGAGGUGGAAAGCAGGGGAUCGCAAGAUCUUGCGCUAUACGAGCGGCCGAUGUCAGAUUAGCUAGUUGGUAGGGUAAAGGCCUACCAAGGCGACGAUCUGUAGCGGGUCUGAGAGGAUGAUCCGCCACACUGGGACUGAGACACGGCCCAGACUCCUACGGGAGGCAGCAGUGGGGAAUUUUGGACAAUGGGCGAAAGCCUGAUCCAGCCAUGCCGCGUGAGUGAAGAAGGCCUUCGGGUUGUAAAGCUCUUUCGGCUGGGAAGAAAUCGCACAGGCUAAUACUCUGUGUGGAUGACGGUACCAGCACAAGAAGCACCGGCUAACUACGUG
This 490-nucleotide ribosomal RNA is filed under the name uncultured bacterium. Its description in RNAcentral is "bacterial SSU rRNA". It matches the Rfam family "Bacterial small subunit ribosomal RNA", at positions 30 to 507 of the family's 1533-position model. The record is from RNAcentral.